AGUGAACGCUGGCGGUAGGCCUAACACAUGCAAGUCGAACGGCAGCACAGUAAGAGCUUGCUCUUACGGGUGGCGAGUGGCGGACGGGUGAGGAAUACAUCGGAAUCUACUUUUUCGUGGGGGAUAACGUAGGGAAACUUACGCUAAUACCGCAUACGACCUACGGGUGAAAGCAGGGGAUCUUCGGACCUUGCGCGAUUGAAUGAGCCGAUGUCGGAUUAGCUAGUUGGCGGGGUAAAGGCCCACCAAGGCGACGAUCCGUAGCUGGUCUGAGAGGAUGAGCAGCCACACUGGAACUGAGACACGGUCCAGACUCCUACGGGAGGCAGCAGUGGGGAAUAUUGGGCAAUGGGCGCAAGCCUGAUCCAGCCAUACCGCGUGGGUGAAGAAGGCCUUCGGGUUGUAAAGCCCUUUUGUUGGGAAAGAAAAGCAGCAGGUUAAUACCCCGCUGUUCUGACGGUACCCAAAGAAUAAGCACCGGCUAACUUCGUG
This 492-nucleotide ribosomal RNA is filed under the name uncultured bacterium. RNAcentral describes it as "partial 16S ribosomal RNA". It matches the Rfam family "Bacterial small subunit ribosomal RNA", at positions 29 to 507 of the family's 1533-position model. The record is from RNAcentral.